Molecule: long non-coding RNA, 3117 nt
Filed under: Sus scrofa (pig)
Lineage: Eukaryota; Metazoa; Chordata; Mammalia; Artiodactyla; Suidae
Description: lncRNA (ENSSSCG00040048248.1)
Source: RNAcentral
UAUUUUGAAAUUUUAGUUAGCUGUAUUAAUAAAAGACUCAUCUAAAACGUAAUGACACAGAAAAAUUAAAAAAAUUGAGGGGGAGGAAAUAUCUGAAAAAUUAUAAAGUCAACAUAAAGCCUCAUAUAAACAUAUAACCAUAAGUAAAACUGACUUUAAGAGGGAGAGAGAAUUAGAGAAUCAGAGGCUUAUUGCCUAUUAUUGAAAGGAACAAUUCAUCAAGAAAAUAUAAUUUUGAACCUGUACGCACCUAGCAACAUAGCCUCAAAACAAACAAAAACAAACAAAAUGGAUUUACUGAAAAGAACUUAGAAAUUCACAAUUUUAGUAGAAGAUUUUCAUUUACAUUUCUCAGUAACAUUAAAUAAUCAUUUACAGAACCCUGAAGACAGCAGAGAAAUUAUGUUCUUUUCAAGCACCCAUGAAACAUUUACAAAAAUUGACAGUGGCGUGAGCCACAAAACAAGUCUCAGAAAAACUACAUCUUACGGAGUAUGUUCUCUGAACAAAAUGCAAUAAAAAUUAGAAUUUAAAAAGCACACUGGAAGUUCCGAUGUGGCUCAGGUGUGGCCCGAAAAAGAAACGAAAAAAAAAAAAAGAAUUCUGCUGUUGCAAACCUCUGUGAUGAUACUAAAUUGAGCCCCAUCUUAAAACAUGACUAUUAAUACCUCUCUUGCAGAUUUUCCGUGAGGCUUAGACAUGAGAGAGACAGAUGGAUGCAGUCAUGUAGCAGUGUUGGUUGCCUUGCCAACAUCCACCUCCACUUCCCUUCUUCCUUUCUCAUACCCCCUAAUUUUCUUCAGGUAUAUUCACCCUCCUCCACCUGGCCAGAUACUUUCUCAGCUCCAGGACACAGGGUAUCCUGAUUUCUUGGAGACAAGUGUGGCAAUCCCACUCCUCUUAUCAGUGGCUUGAUUCCGCCCAAUACAACCAAUGGAGUCUUCCAAGAGACCUCUGGGAAUGUGUCUCUCUCCAAAAAGAGAGAAAAGGAAGGAAAUAGCCCCAUUGUUGCUUGUUUGCUUGCUUGUUCGUUGUAUCUCAUUGCAAUGUUGUCUCUGGAUUUGAAGCCACCUUCUGACCCCAAGGUCAGCACUGUCAACACCCUAAGGGAGGCAGGAAAGAGAACUUAUAACAAUUGAACUCGAACCCUGGAUGAUAGUUUUGAUAGUCAAUACCAACCAACCUGGGAAUCUACCCUCCUUUUCUACCUCCUGCUAUGUGAGAUAAUAAAUCCCCAUCUUGCAGGAGCCAGGUUGAGCUAACUUCGCUAGUUGCCAAAACAUCCUAAAUGAUGAAAAAGGUCAAGCUCAGCCUCGGAGGUCAAAGCCAUGCUAAAAAUAGUAGUUACCAUUACUAUUCUGCUCCGCCUUGCCCAUCCACCCUCUUAUCACUAUCACCGAUGCAACAUCCUUAUUCUGGUCACUUCUGUUCGUAAGUGAAGGGACUAUUCCCCAUAGUAUCUAUUAGCAUAAAACCCUAACUUCCAUUUUCUAAGUAGAGUUUUUACAGCUCACUUGGGGAAUUUAGGAACAGGGCUCACAUUCAUCAUUCUGCAAUUAUGAAUUAUAGGUUGGGAUUCACUCUGUUUAGUUAUACCUACAUUUUUUCACUCUAAUCAAAAAAAAAAAAUUAGGAUGUAUAAUUUCAGUGAAUUACCUUCCAGCAGAAACCUGGAUCUUUUAUUACCAUGAGCUAACAGAACUCCAAUAGAAUCCUAGUAGAAGACGAAUCCUUUCAGAUUUUUGACAGAAAAAACAUAAAGUAAAUCUUUCUCUUCUAUUUAUUUUAAGACUGGAGGAUGAGCCAGUGCCACAGUGGAGAUAAGACAUUUUUGGAAAUAGGAAUUCAGAGACCACAUGGAUCCCACAGGAAACAUAACGAUUUAAUAGUCAACAGAGUAAUAAAUAGAUCAACAAGUAAAAACAGGAAGACUCCCUUUCCAGCCCCGCAAAGAGCAGAACACCGGAAAGCCAACGUAUCUGAAGAAAGGAUUCUCUCUCAAGAGCGACUGUGGCUGAGCCAGAGACUUGCCCAUGGGGAUGGGGGCUAAUGGGUGAGGUAAAGAGGCACCUGUUGGUGAAUCCGGGGCAUUUCUUCCAGUAGAGAAGCCUGUCCCAGCAGGACAGACCCUCAGCCCACCCAAGGGCUUUAGGCAGGACCUGGUGAGUGAGGAGCCAUCACCUGAAAGAAAGGCAGCUACCAAGAUCAGUACAGGAGGAGUUCCCGUCGUGGCGCAGUGGUUAACGAAUCCGACUAGGAACCAUGAGGUUGCGGGUUCGGUCCCUGCCCUUGCUCAUGGGUUAACGAUCCGGCGUUGCCGUGAGCUGUGGUGUAGGUUGCAGACGCGGCUCAGAUCCCGCGUUGCUGUGGCUCUGGCGUAGGCUGGUGGCUACAGCUCCGAUUAGACCCCUAGCCUGGGAAUUUCCAUGUGCCUCAGGAGCAGCCUAAGAAAUAGCGCCCCCCCAAAAAAAAAUUCAGAUCAUAAAAAAAGAAAAUAAAAAAUACUCCUAGUUAAUCCAAUUCCAAUACAACCAUAGGUAAGACUUUGAUGAACUUCCUUCUAGUCUUUUUUCUACUCACAGAUAAUAAUAUAACUGGGUUCACACCACGGAAUUCUCUAUCCCACUUUAUUUCCCUUAACAGUGUAUUUUGAACACAUUCUAGACUAGGACGUUUCAAACCAAACCCUACUGGGUUGUGUUCUUGAAAAAACACACCAGGAGUUCAUAUUAACAAUGUGAUACUGUUUCAACAGACUACACAUUAAUGCAUCAAUUUUUCUCAUCUUAUCAUCAUAAAAUAUUAUACUCAUUAUGAACUAUAAGGUUAAACCUAUAGAGGUACACUUGCUUCCAAGAGAAAGAAAGACCUGUGCCAGGGAAAACAAACCAAGUGCUGUCACCUCUGAAUAAAAAUCAUAUCUGUUUACCUGAAUCCGGUCAAAGAUAAAAUAGAGAGAAACGCCACUGUUAAAACACCACCUCCAUGUCCUCGGAGCCCUGAGAAGUAUCAUUUGUAUCACUAAUGUAAAUUUUAUUAUCAUUUCAAACCACCAUUUUAAAUGGAUCAGUGUUACCAGAAGCAAACUCCUGAACCCAAAAAAAAAAAAAAAAAAAA